CUGGAUGUCUGUGCCAGUCCUUGCAGAUACUCAGAGCCUCCUCUCAUUCCAGCUCUUUGAGGCUCAGCGCUGCCAUAGGCAGCAGGAGCAACAUGCACAGGCAGAGGGAGGAGUCUGCUGUACUGGGCUCACUGCUCAGGGAUGAGUCCUGCAAGUCCAGAUCUCCUCCUGAGGCCCCAGAGAGCUCUUUCUCUGGGUGGAAGCAGUUUUUUAGAGCGGCUGACCUCAAGAGCAUCCUGGUGUUCCAGGGGAUAGCAUUCCAUUUUUCUCUUCACACAUAAUGAGCAGUGAACUCCUUGAUUGUUGCUGUCUGUUCCCUCUACUGAGAGACCACUGAAGCCAACAAAUCCAGCGUUUCAUGCUGCAAUCUAAACAGAGUGAUGCAUUGCAGGUGCUUUCCUCAUCUCCUCACACCUCACAGAAACAUUAGGGGGGAUUUUCAACUUCCUACUCAACUUUUAAAUGGAGAGGCAGGUCAGUCUGCGGAUUAGAAGACUAAUAAAUCUUCUGCCUUCCCUUGUUGUACA
Molecule: long non-coding RNA, 527 nt
Filed under: Serinus canaria (Common canary)
Lineage: Eukaryota; Metazoa; Chordata; Aves; Passeriformes; Fringillidae
Description: lncRNA (ENSSCAG00000010601.1)
Source: RNAcentral